AUUUCGACUGAUUGCCAGUAAUGGUUUAUAUACUCGUCAAUCAAGAGCUUAAGGGCAAUGAAUAAAUCGAAUUUAUUUAUACCUUGGUUUAUUCGAAGGAACCGCUUCACCCUGGUCAAGAUCGCGCCGGGAAAGAACUACAUUCUGGGCAGUGAAUCUAAUCAUUAAAGGGCACCACACUCAUGUUUUCGAGCACUAACUUAAUUAGUGAUUUUACUAACCAAUUUAUCAUCUACAUGCCUUCGGAAGGGUUGUGGUGAGUCGGGCAUCACAAGGCAUGAACACACCCUGAACAGGGCACCAACACACUGCAUGGAGGAAACGGGAGCACCCGGAGGAAACCGACGCAGACACAGGGAGAACAUGCAAACUCCACACAUGAAAGACCCAGAUCGCCCCACCUGGAGAUCAAACCCAGGACCUUCUUGCUGUGAGGCGACAGUGCUGCUAUUUGCCAUCAGGGUGGUGGGAUAGCGGGAGACCAAACCCCUGCAAUGUAUUGGCCUCCUGUUCAUAGUGUUCCUGCCCUGCACAAUGCUGACCAAGAUCAAAUGGUUAAUGAAUAUAAAAUGAACUAAAAUUUUAAAAAUCAUAGCUAGUUCAGGUUCUGUUUGAGAAAGGGGCCAGCUGGGCGACACCUGAGCACCAUAGGUGAUAUGGUUGUUGUAAACAUAAUUUUUUCAAUAAAAGGA
Long non-coding RNA from Trichomycterus rosablanca, 692 nucleotides. RefSeq lists it as uncharacterized. The record is from RefSeq and is a predicted model, not a curated record. NCBI's taxonomy places the organism in Eukaryota, Metazoa, Chordata, Actinopteri, Siluriformes, Trichomycteridae. The transcript has 3 exons.